GCCAGGAGCCAUAUCUCCCAGCAAUUCACAACUAGCAAACCCUUGAAGUUAAGCAGGUGUGAGCCAGGUCAGUACCUGGAUGGGAGACCUCCUGGGAAAAACUAAGGUUGCUGCUGGAA
RNAcentral lists this ribosomal RNA (119 nucleotides) under Lepisosteus oculatus (spotted gar). Lineage: Eukaryota; Metazoa; Chordata; Actinopteri; Semionotiformes; Lepisosteidae. The record is from RNAcentral.